GGGUUGUGAGGUUAAGCGACUAAGCGUACACGGUGGAUGCCCUGGCAGUCAGAGGCGAUGAAGGACGUGCUAAUCUGCGAUAAGCGUCGGUGAGGUGAUAUGAACCGUUAUAACCGGCGAUUUCCGAAUGGGGAAACCCAGUGUGUUUCGACACACUAUCAUUAACUGAAUCCAUAGGUUAAUGAGGCGAACCGGGGGAACUGAAACAUCUAAGUACCCCGAGGAAAAGAAAUCAACCGAGAUUCCCCCAGUAGCGGCGAGCGAACGGGGAGGAGCCCAGAGCCUGAAUCAGUGUGUGUGUUAGUGGAAGCGUCUGGAAAGGCGCGCGAUACAGGGUGACAGCCCCGUACACAAAAAUGCACAUAUUGUGAGCUCGAUGAGUAGGGCGGGACACGUGGUAUCCUGUCUGAAUAUGGGGGGACCAUCCUCCAAGGCUAAAUACUCCUGACUGACCGAUAGUGAACCAGUACCGUGAGGGAAAGGCGAAAAGAACCCCGGCGAGGGGAGUGAAAAAGAACCUGAAACCGUGUACGUACAAGCAGUGGGAGCCUCUUAAUGGGGUGACUGCGUACCUUUUGUAUAAUGGGUCAGCGACUUAUAUUCUGUAGCAAGGUUAACCGAAUAGGGGAGCCGAAGGGAAACCGAGUCUUAACUGGGCGUUAAGUUGCAGGGUAUAGACCCGAAACCCGGUGAUCUAGCCAUGGGCAGGUUGAAGGUUGGGUAACACUAACUGGAGGACCGAACCGACUAAUGUUGAAAAAUUAGCGGAUGACUUGUGGCUGGGGGUGAAAGGCCAAUCAAACCGGGAGAUAGCUGGUUCUCCCCGAAAGCUAUUUAGGUAGCGCCUCGUGAAUUCAUCUCCGGGGGUAGAGCACUGUUUCGGCAAGGGGGUCAUCCCGACUUACCAACCCGAUGCAAACUGCGAAUACCGGAGAAUGUUAUCACGGGAGACACACGGCGGGUGCUAACGUCCGUCGUGAAGAGGGAAACAACCCAGACCGCCAGCUAAGGUCCCAAAGUCAUGGUUAAGUGGGAAACGAUGUGGGAAGGCCCAGACAGCCAGGAUGUUGGCUUAGAAGCAGCCAUCAUUUAAAGAAAGCGUAAUAGCUCACUGGUCGAGUCGGCCUGCGCGGAAGAUGUAACGGGGCUAAACCAUGCACCGAAGCUGCGGCAGCGACGCUUAUGCGUUGUUGGGUAGGGGAGCGUUCUGUAAGCCUGUGAAGGUGUGCUGUGAGGCAUGCUGGAGGUAUCAGAAGUGCGAAUGCUGACAUAAGUAACGAUAAAGCGGGUGAAAAGCCCGCUCGCCGGAAGACCAAGGGUUCCUGUCCAACGUUAAUCGGGGCAGGGUGAGUCGACCCCUAAGGCGAGGCCGAAAGGCGUAGUCGAUGGGAAACAGGUUAAUAUUCCUGUACUUGGUGUUACUGCGAAGGGGGGACGGAGAAGGCUAUGUUGGCCGGGCGACGGUUGUCCCGGUUUAAGCGUGUAGGCUGGUUUUCCAGGCAAAUCCGGAAAACCAAGGCUGAGGCGUGAUGACGAGGCACUACGGUGCUGAAGCAACAAAUGCCCUGCUUCCAGGAAAAGCCUCUAAGCAUCAGGUAACAUCAAAUCGUACCCCAAACCGACACAGGUGGUCAGGUAGAGAAUACCAAGGCGCUUGAGAGAACUCGGGUGAAGGAACUAGGCAAAAUGGUGCCGUAACUUCGGGAGAAGGCACGCUGAUAUGUAGGUGAAGCGACUUGCUCGUGGAGCUGAAAUCAGUCGAAGAUACCAGCUGGCUGCAACUGUUUAUUAAAAACACAGCACUGUGCAAACACGAAAGUGGACGUAUACGGUGUGACGCCUGCCCGGUGCCGGAAGGUUAAUUGAUGGGGUUAGCGGUAACGCGAAGCUCUUGAUCGAAGCCCCGGUAAACGGCGGCCGUAACUAUAACGGUCCUAAGGUAGCGAAAUUCCUUGUCGGGUAAGUUCCGACCUGCACGAAUGGCGUAAUGAUGGCCAGGCUGUCUCCACCCGAGACUCAGUGAAAUUGAACUCGCUGUGAAGAUGCAGUGUACCCGCGGCAAGACGGAAAGACCCCGUGAACCUUUACUAUAGCUUGACACUGAACAUUGAGCCUUGAUGUGUAGGAUAGGUGGGAGGCUUUGAAGUGUGGACGCCAGUCUGCAUGGAGCCGACCUUGAAAUACCACCCUUUAAUGUUUGAUGUUCUAACGUUGGCCCGUAAUCCGGGUUGCGGACAGUGUCUGGUGGGUAGUUUGACUGGGGCGGUCUCCUCCUAAAGAGUAACGGAGGAGCACGAAGGUUGGCUAAUCCUGGUCGGACAUCAGGAGGUUAGUGCAAUGGCAUAAGCCAGCUUGACUGCGAGCGUGACGGCGCGAGCAGGUGCGAAAGCAGGUCAUAGUGAUCCGGUGGUUCUGAAUGGAAGGGCCAUCGCUCAACGGAUAAAAGGUACUCCGGGGAUAACAGGCUGAUACCGCCCAAGAGUUCAUAUCGACGGCGGUGUUUGGCACCUCGAUGUCGGCUCAUCACAUCCUGGGGCUGAAGUAGGUCCCAAGGGUAUGGCUGUUCGCCAUUUAAAGUGGUACGCGAGCUGGGUUUAGAACGUCGUGAGACAGUUCGGUCCCUAUCUGCCGUGGGCGCUGGAGAACUGAGGGGGGCUGCUCCUAGUACGAGAGGACCGGAGUGGACGCAUCACUGGUGUUCGGGUUGUCAUGCCAAUGGCACUGCCCGGUAGCUAAAUGCGGAAGAGAUAAGUGCUGAAAGCAUCUAAGCACGAAACUUGCCCCGAGAUGAGUUCUCCCUGAGACUUAGAGUCUCCUGAAGGAACGUUGAAGACGACGACGUUGAUAGGCCGGGUGUGUAAGCGCAGCGAUGCGUUGAGCUAACCGGUACUAAUGAACCGUGAGGCUUAACCUUACAACGCCGAAG
Molecule: ribosomal RNA, 2926 nt
Filed under: Escherichia coli
Lineage: Bacteria; Pseudomonadati; Pseudomonadota; Gammaproteobacteria; Enterobacterales; Enterobacteriaceae
Description: bacterial LSU rRNA
Rfam family: Bacterial large subunit ribosomal RNA
Source: RNAcentral